GAUGAACGCUGGCGGCGUGCUUAACACAUGCAAGUCGAGCGAGAAGUUUUGAAAAGAUUCUUCGGAUGAAAUUUAAAAUGGAAAGCGGCGGACGGGUGAGUAACGCGUAGGCAACCUGCCCCAUACAAAGGGAUAGCAUUUGGAAACGAAUAUUAAUACCUUAUGAAACUUAACUAGUGCAUGCUAGGUAGGUCAAAGAUUUAUCGGUAUGGGAUGGGCCUGCGUCUGAUUAGCUAGUUGGUGAGGUAACGGCUCACCAAGGCGACGAUCAGUAGCCGACCUGAGAGGGUGAACGGCCACAUUGGAACGGAGACACGGUCCAAACUCCUACGGGAGGCAGCAGUGGGGAAUAUUGCACAAUGGGGGAAACCCUGAUGCAGCAACGCCGCGUGAACGAUGAAGGCCUUUGGGUCGUAAAGUUCUGUUCUAGGUGAUGAAAACUGACAGUAACCUAGGAGAAAGCCCCGGCUAACUCCGUG
RNAcentral lists this ribosomal RNA (479 nucleotides) under uncultured bacterium. Its description in RNAcentral is "partial 16S ribosomal RNA". It matches the Rfam family "Bacterial small subunit ribosomal RNA", at positions 28 to 507 of the family's 1533-position model. The record is from RNAcentral.